Molecule: ribosomal RNA, 253 nt
Filed under: uncultured bacterium
Lineage: Bacteria
Description: partial 16S ribosomal RNA
Rfam family: Bacterial small subunit ribosomal RNA
Source: RNAcentral
UACGUAGGUGGCAAGCGUUGUCCGGAUUUACUGGGCGUAAAGGGCGUGCAGGCGGCUUGUUAAGUCUAGGGUGAAAGCUCCCGGCUCAACUGGGAGAGGUCCUUGGAUACUGGCAGGCUCGAGGGAGGUAGAGGAAAGUGGAAUUCCCGGUGUAGUGGUGAUAUGCGUAGAUAUCGGGAGGAACACCUGUGGCGAAGGCGGCUUUCUGGGCCUUACCUGACGCUGAGACGCGAAAGCGUGGGGAGCGAACCGG